Physeter macrocephalus (sperm whale) is the source of this 590-nucleotide long non-coding RNA. RefSeq lists it as uncharacterized. The transcript has 4 exons. Lineage: Eukaryota; Metazoa; Chordata; Mammalia; Artiodactyla; Physeteridae. The record is from RefSeq and is a predicted model, not a curated record.
AUCAAAUUACUUCCAUCACAAAUUGCUGAUAGAACAUGUAGAAGAUAGAAAAAAAAUCACACUCUUAACUUGGGUCUACGUUAGCAGAGUAAAGUGGCGAAUUAAAAACUCGUCUUCAUAAUGGAAGAGAGGCUCUAUCUUGGUUUACAGCAUCUACACCAUCACAUGAAAAGAUAAAUGGCCUCAGUUCCAAAACGCAGCAUGAGGUAAAAUUAGAGCAAAGAUUCGGCCAAAUGCUGUACAGUUUGUCGCCGGAAGGAGGAAGCCGCCGCACGAAUGCACGCAGACGGGACUGAGCGGCCUUCCUGCUCUUUCAGACAGUCCACGAGGGACAUUCCUACAAGUCUGUCUGAUCUGAGCAAACAGAACCUGGAGAAGUGACGCUCAGGACACAGCAAACAUCUACCAGCCCCAUCCCUUCCCCGGGGCAGACUCUCGUUUGAGGAUCUUCUAACUGAGAAACGAAAACAAACGUCGCCAUCGGGUCGGAUGACGUGGAGCGGCCCAGACACCAAGGGGCUCACAGUCACAAAGCCGUCCCUGAUCCGCGGGGCCGGGUGCACCCUCCAGGUACGGUGACAAGCCGGUGA